RNAcentral lists this ribosomal RNA (253 nucleotides) under uncultured bacterium. RNAcentral describes it as "partial 16S ribosomal RNA". It matches the Rfam family "Bacterial small subunit ribosomal RNA", at positions 524 to 776 of the family's 1533-position model. The record is from RNAcentral.
UACGUAGGGUGCAAGCGUUAAUCGGAAUUACUGGGCGUAAAGCGUGCGUAGACGGUUAUUUAAGUCGGGUGUGAAAGCCCCGGGCUCAACCUGGGAAUUGCAUUCGAGACUGAAUAGCUAGGGUACGGUAGAGGGAAGUGGAAUUUCCGUUGUAGCGGUGAAAUGCGUAGAUAUCGGAAGGAACAUCAGUGGCGAAAGCGACUUCCUGGACCAGUACCGACGUUCAGGCACGAAAGCGUGGGGAGCAAACAGG